This 250-nucleotide unclassified non-coding RNA is filed under the name plant metagenome. Its description in RNAcentral is "partial contains small subunit ribosomal RNA, internal transcribed spacer 1, and 5.8S ribosomal RNA". The record is from RNAcentral.
GUUGGUGAACCAGCGGAGGGAUCAUUACCGAGUUUACAACUCCCAAACCCCCUGUGAACGUACCUAUCGUUGCUUCGGCGGGACCGCCCCGGGCCUCAGCGCCCGGAACCAGGCGCCCGCCGAGGACCUUAAAACUCUUGUUUUCGUUAGAAUUCUUCUGAGUAACAAAACAAAUGAAUCAAAACUUUCAACAACGGAUCUCUUGGUUCUGGCAUCGAUGAAGAACGCAGCAUCUGACUGACUGGAAGCU